This 90-nucleotide transfer RNA is filed under the name Acidobacteriota bacterium. Its description in RNAcentral is "tRNA-Ser". It matches the Rfam family "tRNA". From Rfam's summary of the family: Transfer RNA (tRNA) molecules are approximately 80 nucleotides in length. Their secondary structure includes four short double-helical elements and three loops (D, anti-codon, and T loops). Further hydrogen bonds mediate the characteristic L-shaped molecular structure. tRNAs have two regions of fundamental functional importance: the anti-codon, which is responsible for specific mRNA codon recognition, and the 3' end, to which the tRNAs corresponding amino acid is attached (by aminoacyl-tRNA synthetases). tRNAs cope with the degeneracy of the genetic code in two manners: having more than one tRNA (with a specific anti-codon) for a particular amino acid; and 'wobble' base-pairing, i.e. permitting non-standard base-pairing at the 3rd anti-codon position. RNAcentral also lists the same sequence under 3 other names. Lineage: Bacteria; Pseudomonadati; Acidobacteriota. The record is from RNAcentral.
GGAGAGGUGCAAGAGUGGUUGAAUUGGCAGCACUGGAAAUGCUGUGAGCGGGAAACCGUUCCGUGGGUUCGAAUCCCACCCUCUCCGCCA